UACGGAGGGUGCAAGCGUUAUCCGGAUUUACUGGGUUUAAAGGGUGCGUAGGUGGAUUUGUAAGUCAGUGGUGAAAUCUCCGAGCUUAACUCGGAAACUGCCAUUGAUACUAUAAGUCUUGAAUUAUCUGGAGGUGAGCGGAAUAUGUCAUGUAGCGGUGAAAUGCUUAGAUAUGACAUAGAACACCAAUUGCGAAGGCAGCUCACUACGGAUAUAUUGACACUGAGGCGCGAAAGCCAGGGGAGCGAACGGG
This 253-nucleotide ribosomal RNA is filed under the name uncultured bacterium. RNAcentral describes it as "partial 16S ribosomal RNA". It matches the Rfam family "Bacterial small subunit ribosomal RNA", at positions 524 to 776 of the family's 1533-position model. The record is from RNAcentral.